This 1776-nucleotide long non-coding RNA is filed under the name Cairina moschata (Muscovy duck). RNAcentral describes it as "domestica (muscovy Duck (domestic type)) lncRNA (ENSCMMG00000002697.1)". Lineage: Eukaryota; Metazoa; Chordata; Aves; Anseriformes; Anatidae. The record is from RNAcentral.
AUCGAGGGGAAACUCCCACAGCAGGGAGAGAAUUAGGAUUCCUGUCUGUGUGAUGAGCUAUGUUGCUCUCCCUAGGGUGUUCACAGGAGAUGGGGUGCUAGCUCAGCAAACAUGAGGUUUCAGUAUCUUAGCGAGCAACUGUGAUAAGAGGACAUUCCCCCUUUCCCCUUUCCCCUCCUUUUUAAAAAUAAUUCUGUUGCUUAAAUAAUAAUGAUAAAGGCAUCUUUUGUUGUUGUUGUUUGUUUGUUUGUUUGUUGUAGCUGUGAAGCAUGAAUAGGUUGAUACAAAAGGAAUUUUAAUUUUAAAAUGGAUUUUUUGUGGUAAUCUCUCUUUAGUCCAGUUUGCUUUGUGAAUCCCUUUUCUAGGAUCCCAAGUUUUCCUGCAAUAUGCAUGGGAAAUGUACCUGCUGAGUGAAUGGGAGAAUAACUGUUUCUGCUCCGUGUAUUUUUAUUCCUAAGAUAACUUCUCUAUUAAGACUGGUCUGGGAUUUAACAAAGCAGCGACAUUUUCUGCUUGCUUCAGGACUUUACUAUGGCAUCAUACUUGUACCAGUUUAUGGGGAAAAAAUCCUUCCUAGAACCCCCUUUUUCUCUGAUGGUGCACUCAGCUACUCAGCUUCCUUGGAUUUGAAGACUAGUAGCUUCGGGCUUCCUGAAGGAGAAAGGGUGAGUUAUCAGAAUCCAAAGGUCAUCACUGGGAGUAUGGCUGUAAUGAUGAGUUUCCCUUUUCCUGCUGCUGGUAAAUAUGUCAAUACUUCCUUCCUCCUCAGCCUUCUGUCUGCUUUGGCUUACUUUUGUAAGUUUUCUUAACACAGCUUACGUGCUCUUUAUUGUCACUAGUUGCCAGUGAUUCAGUUUUUGUUCUGUUCUGUUUAAAACUGAUUUUACCCGAACAAUGAGAUGCUGCACUCCUGCAGUGACCUGUGAAUUAAAGCUGUGAUUUCUGUCAAUGCCCUGGACUUCUGGUAUCAACCUGUGUGUAUACUCUCUUCCAUACCUGAUUUUAUUUUAGGGACAUAGACAAUUCAAUCCAUGCCGAAUAACUUGUUAUCUCUAUAAACUAGAGGUAGUCUGAAAUAAAUUUAGGCAGUAGUUACUUGACCAUGAGACAAUUUAUUUAUUUAUUUAUUUAUUUUUUAAGGCUAAAGUUAGCUCAAGCUAAGUCAAACCCAGGCAAGUCCCGAGAUCUUGCAGUCAGGUCAGUGGUUUUAGUACUGGCAAAAUUAUUUUCUGUAAAGAUAAAAAUGCUAUAAAGAUGCUUGGAAAGUUCAAACGAACAAAAGCCAAGUAACAACAGUAAGAAUAAAAAUAUAAGGUGACUUUCCUAUGAGUCACUUAAAUAGCAGAAAUUGAACUCUCCCUCUGUUGUCCAGCUAUCCUCCAAAAAAAAAAAAAAAAAAUUAUUCUGUCUUCCGUGCAAUUCAUAUUGUGAUGCUAGUUUCUAGUAUCCUUUUAGUAAAUGUGUGCAAAGACAUUACUUAAUAAAUAAAUAAAUAAAUAAUACAGGUCUACUUCUAAAUACAUACAGCAACUUCUGAAGACCUGCUUCAGCAGUGAAAAACUACCUGCCAAGAGUUUUAAACACUUACUUUGCAUAUUGAAAUAAUUUGAUUAAAAAAAACAACCCUCCCAACUUUCUGAAGAGAUGUUGUCAUCAGUGGGACAAAAAAUCCCAUCCGUUAAAACAAACAAUAAAAACAACACUUAAGUUUUGCUACUAGUUCCUGUCUGUAGCACUCACCUGUCAUGUGUUUCAUGACAUUUAUGCAGUUCUGAG